RNAcentral lists this ribosomal RNA (421 nucleotides) under uncultured bacterium. Its description in RNAcentral is "bacterial SSU rRNA". It matches the Rfam family "Bacterial small subunit ribosomal RNA", at positions 32 to 484 of the family's 1533-position model. The record is from RNAcentral.
AACGCUGGCGGCGUGCCUAACACAUGCAAGUCGAACGGGAAAACAGGGGCAACUCUGUGAGUACAGUGGCGUACGGGUGAGUAACACGUGACUACCUACCCUCGAGUGGGGGAUAACCCCGGGAAACCGGGGCUAAUACCGCAUAACAUCGAGAGAUCAAAGGAGCAAUCCGCUUGAGGAGGGGGUCGCGGCUGAUUAGCUAGUUGGUGAGGUAACGGCUCACCAAGGCGAUGAUCGGUAGCCGGCCUGAGAGGGCGCACGGCCACACUGGAACUGAAACACGGUCCAGACUCCUACGGGAGGCAGCAGUGGGGAAUUUUGCGCAAUGGGGGAAACCCUGACGCAGCAACGCCGCGUGGAGGAUGAAGUCCCUUGGGACGUAAACUCCUUUCGACCCGGACGAUAAUGACGGUACGGGUGG